RNAcentral lists this long non-coding RNA (1079 nucleotides) under Olea europaea subsp. europaea. The record is from RNAcentral. Lineage: Eukaryota; Viridiplantae; Streptophyta; Magnoliopsida; Lamiales; Oleaceae.
AUAAUGUGCAAAUAAAGUCAAAUAUUGUUGAAUUCCUUCAACCAUCUAGGGUUUUCUCUCUAUAGUUUAUUGGUUUAUUGUCUUCCUUAACUUCCUCUGUAAUCUUCCAGCUAACCUUAUCAAAGGCAUUAUCGUUUACCAGUUUCGUACAUGAUGGAAAUCUGUAUAGACUAUUUUUUCUUUAUUUAUGUUAUUCCGAAUAUAAACUGCAUCACACUUUAUGAUCAAAGAUAAUGACAUGAAGCUCUCUUAGGCACUUAAAUACUUUAUACUUUGGAAUUGAAAUAACAUAUUUUGAAACUUUCCGUUGAAAUUUUAUCUUUUGAUUUAUUCAAAUAGGUUGUUCAAUAUUAUAUGAAGUUAUUGUGAUUUUCCUUUUCUAAGCCACUGCUAAGAUGUGUUAUGAAUGAGAAAGAUAUUGUUCGAAGGCAAAUUUCAUUUUUGAUAGAUAGAAAUUUGGGCAUAUAGGCUAUUAUAAUAAAAGAAGGAAGGUAAAAUAAAACUUGCGAACUUAUGAAUUGCAAAAGUUUCAUGGAAAGUUCUUAAAGCUUUAGGAUGUUAAAGGAUUGUAGUAGAUCAAGACAUGGAAGUUUGGUUGAAUAGGUUAGGUUGUUUGAAAUGUGACUUGCUUAAUGUUUGGGACUUUCGAAGGACAUGAUUUAUAAUACCGAUGUAAGCUAAUUUCUUUGGCCCGAACACAUUUUCACUACUACUUUCAUAUCAUUGUAAAACACUUGUUAUGUUGCUAAUAAUGCCACAUCUUUCAGUUAUGUCAUGGCAUCACUGAACUAGGGGCAUUUUUUGAACAAUUGAAAAGAGAGCUUCAAGCGUUGGAAGCGGCAAAUGUGCAUGUAAUUUUGGAGAACAAGCAUUAGUUAGUGAGGUAACUUUGGAUUUUAAGCAUUAACAUCCAGGUGUUUACCGUGUUUUGUGUUCUUCUCAUUGCCAUCACUUGUGAUCCAAUAAGAUAUUUUUGUUAAUUGAUUGUAGGUGUAAAUCAUCUGACAUCAUAUAUUGCUAUUUAAUGAUAGCUUUUCGAUUUUACUUAAAAGUAUAACACCUGAGGCUUUUUUAUGAUG